GCCGCAAGAUGAGUACUCUCACAGCCUUGGGCUGGUAAGACUCCCGGAAGAUGACCGGGUUGAGCGGCGCGCACUGGACGCGGGGCGACCCGUGCAGGUGACGCGUGCGCACAGUCGAGGGCUUCCCGCC
RNAcentral lists this ribosomal RNA (130 nucleotides) under Oscillochloris sp. RNAcentral's name for it is "partial 23S ribosomal RNA". It matches the Rfam family "Bacterial large subunit ribosomal RNA", at positions 2796 to 2925 of the family's 2925-position model. The record is from RNAcentral. Lineage: Bacteria; Bacillati; Chloroflexota; Chloroflexia; Chloroflexales; Oscillochloridaceae.